GAAUUCAGAAUACAUUACGAGGGAACCAAGCACCUUGCUGUUGGCCAGUCCAUCCACUGAAACCCCUUCUCUGCUGGUGGCCAUACGUGGAGGAUAAGCUGCUUUUUUGCGUGGAAAUGCUCCCUCUAACAGGGGGAAAACCAUUCCGUCUAAGUAAUGACCAAAGGAACUGCUUAUCUUGAACAUCAGAUGCAUAGAGGCUGGCUGAUCAUGCCGGCAUUUUCCAAACUAUCAAAUGCUGCUACAAGACAUUGUCGACGCCACCGAAGCACCCUAGCUGUUUAGAUCAUCAGCCCUCUUGGACUCCAGCAGCUCCUCAGCUGAACCGAAUGGAGAUUUAAAUUGUAAUAUAAUCAGUAUUGCUCCUGGAUAAUUGCCAUCUAUAACCUCCUGAUCCCUUUACCAAAGAGCUAAUUACACUGCAGUGUUCCUUAUAA
Panicum virgatum (switchgrass) is the source of this 437-nucleotide long non-coding RNA. RefSeq lists it as uncharacterized. The record is from RefSeq and is a predicted model, not a curated record. The transcript is spliced from 2 exons. NCBI's taxonomy places the organism in Eukaryota, Viridiplantae, Streptophyta, Magnoliopsida, Poales, Poaceae.